This 440-nucleotide ribosomal RNA is filed under the name uncultured bacterium. Its description in RNAcentral is "partial 16S ribosomal RNA". It matches the Rfam family "Bacterial small subunit ribosomal RNA", at positions 338 to 795 of the family's 1533-position model. The record is from RNAcentral.
CCUACGGGUGGCAGCCGUAGGGAAUAUUGCUCAAUGGGGGAAACCCUGAAGCAGCAACGCCGCGUGAAGGAUGAAGGUUUUCGGAUUGUAAACUCCUUUUGUUAGAGAAGAUAAUGACGGUAUCUAACGAAUAAGCACCGUCUAACUCCGUGCCAGCAGCCGCGGUAAUACUGAGGGUGCAAGCGUUAACUGGAAUCACUGGGCGUAAAGAGCGCGUAGGCGGGAUAGCAAGUCAGAUGUGAAAUCCUAGGGCUUAACCAUGGAACUGCAUUUGAAACUGUUAUUCUAGAGUAUGGGAGAGGUAGGUGGAAUUCUUGGUGUAGGAGUAAAAUCCGUAGAGAUCAAGAGGAAUACUCAUUGCGAAGGCGAACUGCUAGAACAUAACUGACGCUGAUGCGCGAAAGCGUGGGGAGCAAACAGGAUUAGAUACCCGUGUAGUC